GACGAACGCUGGCGGCGUGCCUAAUACAUGCAAGUAGAACGCACAGUUUAUACCGUAGCUUGCUACACCAUACACUGUGAGUUGCGAACGGGUGAGUAACGCGUAGGUAACCUGCCUGGUAGCGGGGGAUAACUAUUGGAAACGAUAGCUAAUACCGCAUAAUAUUAAUUAUUGCAUGAUAAUUGAUUGAAAGAUGCAAUUGCAUCACUACCAGAUGGACCUGCGUUGUAUUAGCUAGUAGGUGAGGUAACGGCUCACCUAGGCGACGAUACAUAGCCGACCUGAGAGGGUGGUCGGCCACACUGGGACUGCGACCCGGCCCAGACUCCUACGGGAGGCAGCAGUAGGGAAUCUUCGGGAAUGGACGAAAGUCUGACCGAGCAACGCCGCGUGAGUGAAGAAGGUUUUCGGAUCGUAAAGCUCUGUUGUAAGAGAAGAACGGGUGUGAGAGUGGAAAGUUCACACUGUGACGGUAUCUUACCAGAAAGGGACGGCUAACUACGUG
RNAcentral lists this ribosomal RNA (505 nucleotides) under uncultured bacterium. Its description in RNAcentral is "partial 16S ribosomal RNA". It matches the Rfam family "Bacterial small subunit ribosomal RNA", at positions 28 to 507 of the family's 1533-position model. The record is from RNAcentral.